CACGCCAUCUUGGCCAGCCGAAGCGGCCUUUUCAUUUCUCAUCAGUCCAGAAGACAAGUCGUGUGUGGCGUGGCUGCGGAUUUUUCCCAAAUUCUGCGGUUUCUACCCAACUUGUUGAGAAAAUGAGAGCUAAGUGGCGGAAGAAGCGUAUGCGAAGGCUGAAGCGUAAGCGCAGAAAGAUGCGUGCGAGGUCCAAGUAAUUCUCCACGAGACUUUACGGUUCCGCGUGUUCCGGACAGGGGCUGCUGAGCAGCAGGACGUGACGCGCCCGCAAGGUGUGCAGUCAGAGGAAUGUUCUGUGUUUGUGGAAAUAAAUCAAUAGCCCUUUGUGUGGACACGAAAA
Molecule: long non-coding RNA, 343 nt
Organism: Phlebotomus argentipes
Lineage: Eukaryota; Metazoa; Arthropoda; Insecta; Diptera; Psychodidae
Exons: 3
Source: RefSeq, a predicted model, not a curated record